GCGAGGCAGCAGCGGCGGCGGCGGCGGCAGCGGCGGUCGAGGCUGAGGCUGAGGCUGAGGAGGCGGCGGCGGCGGCGGGCGGGGCUCGGCUCGGGCUCCGCGGGCGGGCGGGCGGACAUGGCGGCCAACAUGUACCGGGUCGGAGAUUAUGUCUACUUUGAGAAUUCCUCCAGCAACCCAUACCUAAUAAGAAGAAUAGAAGAACUCAACAAGACUGCAAGUGGCAACGUGGAAGCAAAAGUAGUAUGCUUUUAUAGACGACGUGAUAUUUCCAACACACUUAUAAUGCUCGCAGAUAAGCAUGCUAAAGAAAUUGAGGAAGAAUCUGAAACAACAGUUGAGGCUGACUUGACCGAUAAGCAGAAACAUCAGUUGAAACAUAGGGAACUCUUUUUGUCACGCCAGUAUGAAUCUCUGCCCGCAACACAUAUCAGGGGAAAGUGCAGUGUUGCCCUUCUGAAUGAGACAGAAUCAGUAUUGUCAUAUCUUGAUAAGGAGGAUACCUUCUUCUACUCAUUGGUCUAUGACCCCUCAUUGAAAACACUAUUAGCUGACAAAGGUGAAAUCAGAGUGGGGCCUAGAUAUCAAGCAGACAUUCCAGAAAUGCUGUUAGAAGGAGAAUCAGAUGAGAGGGAACAGUCAAAAUUGGAAGUUAAAGUUUGGGAUCCAAAUAGCCCACUUACGGAUCGACAGAUUGACCAGUUUUUAGUUGUAGCACGUGCUGUUGGGACAUUCGCCAGAGCCCUGGAUUGCAGCAGUUCUGUCAGGCAGCCUAGUCUGCAUAUGAGUGCUGCUGCAGCUUCCCGAGACAUCACCUUGUUUCAUGCUAUGGAUACAUUGUAUAGACACAGCUAUGAUUUGAGCAGUGCCAUUAGUGUCUUAGUACCACUCGGAGGACCUGUUUUAUGCAGAGAUGAAAUGGAGGAAUGGUCAGCCUCUGAAGCUAGCUUAUUUGAAGAGGCACUGGAAAAAUAUGGCAAAGACUUCAAUGACAUACGGCAAGAUUUUCUUCCUUGGAAAUCAUUGACUAGCAUCAUUGAAUAUUAUUACAUGUGGAAAACUACUGACAGAUAUGUGCAACAGAAACGUCUAAAAGCAGCAGAAGCUGAGAGUAAACUGAAACAAGUAUAUAUCCCAACUUACAGCAAACCAAAUCCCAACCAAAUAUCCACUAGUAAUGGGAAGCCUGGUGCUGUGAAUGGAGCUGUGGGGACCACGUUCCAGCCUCAGAAUCCUCUUUUAGGGAGAGCCUGUGAGAGCUGCUAUGCUACACAGUCUCACCAGUGGUAUUCUUGGGGCCCACCUAAUAUGCAGUGUAGAUUAUGUGCAAUUUGUUGGCUUUAUUGGAAAAAAUAUGGAGGCUUGAAAAUGCCCACCCAGUCAGAAGAAGAAAAGUUAUCUCCUAGCCCAACUACAGAGGACCCUCGUGUUAGAAGUCACGUGUCCCGCCAGGCCAUGCAGGGAAUGCCAGUCCGAAACACUGGGAGUCCAAAGUCUGCAGUGAAGACCCGCCAAGCUUUCUUCCUUCAUACUACAUAUUUCACAAAAUUUGCUCGUCAGGUCUGCAAAAAUACCCUCCGUCUGCGGCAGGCAGCAAGACGGCCGUUUGUUGCUAUUAAUUACGCUGCCAUUAGGGCAGAAUAUGCAGACAGACAUGCUGAACUAUCUGGAAGUCCACUGAAAAGCAAAAGCACUAGGAAGCCUUUGGCAUGUAUCAUUGGGUAUUUAGAGAUCCAUCCUGCAAAGAAACCUAAUGUAAUUCGAUCUACACCAAGCCUGCAAACCCCAACUACCAAGCGGAUGCUAACAACUCCAAAUCACACAUCUCUGAGCAUUCUGGGGAAAAGAAACUACAGUCAUCACAAUGGUCUGGAUGAGACAGAGUGAUGCUGUGUUGUCCAGACUGUCUUGAACUUCUGGCCUCAAGCCAUCCACCAGCCUUGGCCUCUCAAAGUGCUGGGAUUAUGGGCAUGAGCCACCACACCUGGCCUAGUCAUGAGGUUUUCUUUGACCUACUGCUGAACCUCCUUUCCCUGAAGAACUCAAGUGCUGUGUGUCAGACUGAGCUUUCCCUGAUUCAUUCUACAAUCCAAGACUUGCUGCACUGUCCUGCUGAUGUUCACAGUCGUGCCUGGGAAGAAGGCAGCCCCACUCCCAGUACAUUUCAGUGGGAGACCUCUGCGUGCAUCCAUGGAGACGCAAUGGGGCGGGGAAGGAACUGUGGGAGUGCACGUUCCAAAUCCUGUGUCUCCACGUGUGGAUCAGCAGCACCUCGCUUUCUUGUCAGAGACCUCGCUGUUACGGAGCGAGACCUGCUGAGAAUUGAGGGGCUGAGGGAACCCCUCCACCUCCUCCCUUCUGCAGCGCCCUGCGCCCCACCCAGCAACAGUGGCUGCUUGGCAGUGGGGCUGCUGCGAGCUCAGAGCCGCUGCUGCCCUGCAUGUGUCUGCUCAGCUCGGUCUUAUGCUGUAUAGUUACUAAAUAUGUACAGGAGGGCCACGGCAUCUUUCUGAAUGGAUUUUUCUUAAGAAGUGCGCCAGUGUUUAUGAGGUUCAUGGUAUUUCCCUGUCCUUGCUGUUACCGUCACUCAGCUUUUUCUCGAUAGGCUUCAUGCUUGUUUUUUUGAAAUGGGGGAAUUUGCUGUUUACCUUCUGCAUUCCUAUAUGUGACCCUCCCUCCUACUCCUCCAGGGAACAGAAUUACCCGAGGUCCUGACAAGAGAUAAGCCUGUAAACUCAUCAUCUGUGUUUUGUGGUCGGAGAGAAGCUGGUGUUCUGCCCGGCUCUGCUUGGUCACAGACAGCUCCAGCAAGAGCAGUUGUUAAAAGUGCCAAGCGUGUGUAUCACUGUGACCAGCCGUUUGCUUACUGCCCUGUUCCCUUGCAGCCAAACCAGCUGAUGAAGAACUGCUGCCAGGGGGGUCCCACAGCGGGUCACAAAUGACCUAGUUUCAUUUUAAGCAGACAGACUCUGUUUGGCCUAGAGGUGUUUGUGGGUAUGAGUCUGUGUGGCCAACCCCAUGACCCCCACCCCUCCAGCCCAACAUCCUGUGAGCACGUGUGACCUAGGCCCCGGGGGACCUGCCUGCUCCUCUGGCUUGGGCUCUUCGCGUUUCCCACCUGCCCUCGGCACCAGCCCGUGGUGGCAUCACAGUCGGCCACUCAGCUGUGCUGAGUAGCUGUGCUACUUGUGCUGGCAGCUGCAAGGAUAGGAAUAGCUCAGCGCCCGAUGAGCUCCCUGAGCAGAUGUGAGGCUGGCAACUCCCCUGCCCUCUGUUUGCAGGCACAGGGUCACAGUCCCAUGAAAGACAACUGGAGUCUGAUCUCCCAGCCAUCUCUGGGGUUACUAGGAGGCAGCUGGAUGGCAGAUAACGAGAGGCCCAAAUAGCCAAGUUGUUGUGAGACAGAGUGGCUACAAUUGAAUUGACCCCCUGGGAAGAACGAGAUAACACGGUAAGGAUAAUGAUGCUCUAGAUGUCUGUGUCCUCGGAGGCUGGGCUCCGCUUGGUAGAGAGAGCGUGCUGUGUGAGGUGGAGGGCGGUUUUGCAGACAUCUCAGCUUCUUUUCUGAGGAGGAGUUGGUUCUCAUCUUAGGCUUCUGCAAGGGUGAGCAUGGGACGUCUCCACCACCACCCACUCUUGGAGCUGUACUGGGUCUUGGCUUGGGGCCCUGAGGGUGGGGCCUGUGUCAGAAGCAUUUGGUGAGACGGGUGGAGGUGGCAGGCAGGGGUUCUCCUCAGGGUUCCCACUGAGGGGUCCCUUCAGCAAAGACAUGGGAGAAGGUGCCGCAGGAAGAAACGUGGGAUGUUUCUUCCCUAAAGAAACAGACACAGGAAAGCUGUCUGUCUGUACCCCGCUCUGGAUUUAUUGUCAUACUUGGACCCAGAAGGGGAAAUGAUUCCCUCACCCUUUCACUUUCUUUCUGAACCCCUAUUAAGUGGUGACUGCAGAUUCUGGAAACAAUUAGCUGCCCGUGACUCAGCUGCCAGCUCCAUUUUCUCUGCCUUUUGGGAGAGGCCCUCUCACCCAGGCCCAAGAGAUUUGGAGACAGGAGUCAGGCCAGGUCUGAAGCAGGAGAAGGGAGGCCCCUCCUAUCUACCCAGUUGACAUUUGGCUUUGGGAAAAGUGCAGCUUGUUCGAGCCACGUGUGCCAAGCAGGCUUUUCCUUCCUCUUGUAAGUAAAGCUCGUGGUUCUGCAGUCCAAUCAUCCUAAGAGGAUGAUGUUGACUGAGACUUCACGCUCUCCCUUUGUCUCUGGAAACUGCCCCCUCGUUCUGACAGAAUCCCCCAGGCAAUAGAGGAAGGAUGCCAAGGCGCCUCUAGCCUGUGCCUUUGCCAUUGGAAGCAUUUGGUGCUGAGAGGGUUUCCCAGCCACCCUCUCCCUUUCUGGGGCCACCGUGUUGCUGCUGUGUGUCAGUGGCAUGUCACUGUGGUUCAGUGAGCACAUGGGUGGACGUGCAGAGGCUGUCUGCUCAGCCCCCAGCAGACAUGCCCCUGGGGUGAGGACACAGGCUCUGCAGGGCAUCUCCCCCUCCGGCUCAGUCAUCGCCUGCCCACCCUUCACUUCUUAAAGGUGCGCAAGAGAGGAGGGUCGACUGGAAGGUGUUGCCGGAAGUUUUCAGCCUGCCCUUCACAAUUCCCCUUGUGCACAGCCCAGUUUCCAUUGCUCAGGGCCCACCCAGGAAAAUGGAUUUCAAAUGGGGGUUUUCAUCUAGAGAUUUGUUUAACACAAAAGAAGAAAAGCUGAGAGGCAAAACAGGGGAGUGAGGGGCAACCCAGAGGUGGGGAACAACAACAGCAAGCCGCCCCCAUCCUGAGACUGGCUGGGCACCAGGUGAGGACGCGUCACCAGAGCCUGGGGCCAAGUCCACUGGGGGACCUGCCACACCGUGGACCUGUCUGGUGGGGGCUGGAGCCUUGAGAAGCCAUGGUUCUUGUCAGAAACAUUUCCCCAGGGGGAGAGAGGGGGCCCCGGCCUCUCCCCUCCUCUUGGCCUCCAGAGUCCUGCAGGUGCCUCACAAUAGUGAAACCCAGUUGGAAGCAGCUGCCCUGGGAGCCUGGGACAGGCGACCCACCGGGUCAGUCCCCUGCCACUCAGAGCAGAGCAGAGCAGAGCAGGGGGCUGAGGGCAAGCAGGUGGGCUGUGCGUGGCCUCAAUGCACUCGGUGUCAUGUCUGAGCCUGGUGUUCAUGCCCCACUGCUGUCCUAAGUCCCUGGCGAGGGGAGGUGGAGGAGCUGCCCCGUGGGUGUUUGGAGAUUCUGUUUUACUCUGCCUAGAGAGGAAACGGCUUUGGGGAGGGAGGGGGAAGCCCUUAUUCUUUACUGUUGUCCCUGUUUUCCUUUGGGGAAACAGUUACUCAGUUAGCAGCCCCUCCUCACCAUUCCCCCCAGGAAGGCCAUGUCCCAGUUUUCUGUCCACCCCUCCUGUUCCUCUGCACUGUGUCUCUGAUUUUCCCUGCCAGGGAAGCUAACCCAGAGCACGCACCCGUGCUCAUGAGUGUUUCCCCAGGAUAAUUCGUUCUGAGCAUGAUACCACAGUGUGGAUUGUCUGUCUGUAAGGAGAUGCCAUCUACUAACCAAUUUGUAUUGUGUUUCUAAUAAAUUCCUGGAAAUUUU
RNA transcript from Pongo pygmaeus (Bornean orangutan), 5613 nucleotides. It is a transcript of the gene named metastasis associated 1 family member 3, with no coding region annotated. The record is from RefSeq and is a predicted model, not a curated record. The transcript has 18 exons. NCBI's taxonomy places the organism in Eukaryota, Metazoa, Chordata, Mammalia, Primates, Hominidae.